GAGCAACUUGGAUACCAUAAAAAGAAACCCACCCUCUCUGGCAGCGAUCUGGCCGGGCUGACGUUGAACAUCUUGGACAUGUCUUCAGAGUUGCGUUGCUGCGCCACAUCGCACAGUUUGGCCGUGAUGUCGAUGCGUCUGCAGAUGUCCAUGUCCACCCGUCUGGCUUUCUCCUGAAUCUUGGAGUCCAGGUUUUCCACCGCAGACUCCAGCUGCUCGCGUUUGGACAGCUCCUCCUCCCAUCUGCAACACAACACAACAAAACACAAAGGAAUAUUGUUUGGUGAAGAAGCAGACCUCCUCCCCACAAAGUAUGAAAGCAGAAAGUAGAACGCACCGCAUGUGUAAAUG
This is a long non-coding RNA of Nerophis lumbriciformis (worm pipefish), 351 nucleotides long. RefSeq lists it as uncharacterized. The record is from RefSeq and is a predicted model, not a curated record. Lineage: Eukaryota; Metazoa; Chordata; Actinopteri; Syngnathiformes; Syngnathidae.